AUAUUAAGUUGUUGCGGUUAAAAGCUCGUAGUUGGAUUUCUGUUGAGGACGGCCGGUCCGCACUAUGUGCGUGUAUCUGGUUCGGCCUUGGCAUCCUCUUGAGGAACGUAUCUACGCUUGAUUGCGUGGAGCGGUAUUCAAGACUUUUACUUUGAGGAAAUUAGAGUGUUCACGGCGGGCAAGCGCCCUGAAUAUAUUAGCAUGGAAUAAUAAUAUAGGAUCUUGGUUCUAUUUUGUUGGUUUCUAGAGCUAAGGUAAUGAUUAAUAGGGAUAAUUGGGGGCAUUUGUAUUAACGCGUCAGAGGUGGAAUUCUUGGAUUGCGUUACGACAAACUACUGCGAAAGCAUUUGCCAAGGAUGUUUUCAUUGAUCAAGAACGAAAGUAUGGGGAUCGAAGAUGAUUAGAUACCGUCGUAGUCUAUACCAUAAACUAUGCCGACUAGGGAUUGGAGGUCGUUCUUUUUAUGACUCCUUCAGCACCUUAUGAGAAAUCAAAGUCUUUGGGUUCCGGGGGGAGUAUAGUCGCAAGGCUGAAACUUAAAGGAAUUGACGGAAGGGCACCACCAGGAGUGGAGCCUGCGGCUUAAUUUGACUCAACACGGGGAAACUCACCAGGUCCAGACAUAGUAAGGAUUGACAGAUUGAUAGCUCUUUCUUGAUUCU
Molecule: ribosomal RNA, 662 nt
Filed under: uncultured Syndiniales
Lineage: Eukaryota; Dinophyceae; Syndiniales
Description: SSU rRNA
Rfam family: Eukaryotic small subunit ribosomal RNA
Source: RNAcentral